Molecule: ribosomal RNA, 253 nt
Filed under: uncultured Gemmatimonas sp.
Lineage: Bacteria; Pseudomonadati; Gemmatimonadota; Gemmatimonadia; Gemmatimonadales; Gemmatimonadaceae
Description: partial 16S ribosomal RNA
Rfam family: Bacterial small subunit ribosomal RNA
Source: RNAcentral
UACGGAGGGUGCGAGCGUUGUCCGGAAUCACUGGGCGUAAAGGGCGCGUAGGCGGCGCGGAAAGUCGUCGGUGAAAGCUCAGGGCUCAACUCUGAGUCGGCCGGUGAUACUCCCGCGCUCGAGCUCACUAGAGGCAGAUGGAAUUCCGGGUGUAGCGGUGGAAUGCGUAGAGAUCCGGAAGAACACCGGUGGCGAAGGCGGUCUGCUGGGGUGAGGCUGACGCUGAUGCGCGACAGCGUGGGGAGCAAACAGG